This 1186-nucleotide ribosomal RNA is filed under the name Campylobacter jejuni. RNAcentral describes it as "partial 23S ribosomal RNA". It matches the Rfam family "Bacterial large subunit ribosomal RNA", at positions 1734 to 2925 of the family's 2925-position model. The record is from RNAcentral. Lineage: Bacteria; Pseudomonadati; Campylobacterota; Epsilonproteobacteria; Campylobacterales; Campylobacteraceae.
GUUAGCCUUGUAUUAGGAUUUACUCCGAAAGCAAGGAAACUUACAACAAAGAGUCCCUCCCGACUGUUUACCAAAAACACAGCACUCUGCUAACUCGUAAGAGGAUGUAUAGGGUGUGACGCCUGCCCGGUGCUCGAAGGUUAAUUGAUGGGGUUAGCAUUAGCGAAGCUCUUGAUCGAAGCCCGAGUAAACGGCGGCCGUAACUAUAACGGUCCUAAGGUAGCGAAAUUCCUUGUCGGUUAAAUACCGACCUGCAUGAAUGGCGUAACGAGAUGGGAGCUGUCUCAAAGAGGGAUCCAGUGAAAUUGUAGUGGAGGUGAAAAUUCCUCCUACCCGCGGCAAGACGGAAAGACCCCGUGGACCUUUACUACAGCUUGACACUGCUACUUGGAUAAGAAUGUGCAGGAUAGGUGGGAGGCUUUGAGUAUAUGACGCCAGUUGUAUAUGAGCCAUUGUUGAGAUACCACUCUUUCUUAUUUGGGUAGCUAACCAGCUUGAGUUAUCCUCAAGUGGGACAAUGUCUGGUGGGUAGUUUGACUGGGGCGGUCGCCUCCCAAAUAAUAACGGAGGCUUACAAAGGUUGGCUCAGAACGGUUGGAAAUCGUUCGUAGAGUAUAAAGGUAUAAGCCAGCUUAACUGCAAGACAUACAAGUCAAGCAGAGACGAAAGUCGGUCUUAGUGAUCCGGUGGUUCUGUGUGGAAGGGCCAUCGCUCAAAGGAUAAAAGGUACCCCGGGGAUAACAGGCUGAUCUCCCCCAAGAGCUCACAUCGACGGGGAGGUUUGGCACCUCGAUGUCGGCUCAUCGCAUCCUGGGGCUGGAGCAGGUCCCAAGGGUAUGGCUGUUCGCCAUUUAAAGCGGUACGCGAGCUGGGUUCAGAACGUCGUGAGACAGUUCGGUCCCUAUCUGCCGUGGGCGUAAGAAGAUUGAAGAGAUUUGACCCUAGUACGAGAGGACCGGGUUGAACAAACCACUGGUGUAGCUGUUGUUCUGCCAAGAGCAUCGCAGCGUAGCUAAGUUUGGAAAGGAUAAACGCUGAAAGCAUCUAAGCGUGAAGCCAACUCUAAGAUGAAUCUUCUCUAAGCUCUCUAGAAGACUACUAGUUUGAUAGGCUGGGUGUGUAAUGGAUGAAAGUCCUUUAGCUGACCAGUACUAAUAGAGCGUUUGGCUUAUCUUUAAUAAAGCAU